This 490-nucleotide ribosomal RNA is filed under the name uncultured bacterium. RNAcentral describes it as "partial 16S ribosomal RNA". It matches the Rfam family "Bacterial small subunit ribosomal RNA", at positions 30 to 507 of the family's 1533-position model. The record is from RNAcentral.
AUUGAACGCUGGCGGCAGGCCUAACACAUGCAAGUCGAACGGUAACAGGAAGCAGCUUGCUGCUUUGCUGACGAGUGGCGGACGGGUGAUUAAUGUCUGGGAAACUGCCUGAUGGAGGGGGAUAACUACUGGAAACGGUAGCUAAUACCGCAUAACGUCGCAAGACCAAAGAGGGGGACCUUCGGGCCUCUUGCCAUCGGAUGUGCCCAGAUGGGAUUAGCUAGUAGGUGGGGUAACGGCUCACCUAGGCGACGAUCCCUAGCUGGUCUGAGAGGAUGACCAGCCACACUGGAACUGAGACACGGUCCAGACUCCUACGGGAGGCAGCAGUGGGGAAUAUUGCACAAUGGGCGCAAGCCUGAUGCAGCCAUGCCGCGUGUAUGAAGAAGGCCUUCGGGUUGUAAAGUACUUUCAGCGGGGAGGAAGGGAGUAAAGUUAAUACCUUUGCGCAUUGACGUUACCCGAAGAAGAAGCACCGGCUAACUCCGUG